Molecule: ribosomal RNA, 1010 nt
Filed under: Bacillus altitudinis
Lineage: Bacteria; Bacillati; Bacillota; Bacilli; Caryophanales; Bacillaceae
Description: bacterial SSU rRNA
Rfam family: Bacterial small subunit ribosomal RNA
Source: RNAcentral
CGGCGGCGUGCCUAAUACAUGCAAGUCGAGCGGACAGAAGGGAGCUUGCUCCCGGAUGUAGCGGCGGACGGGUGAGUAACACGUGGGUAACCUGCCUGUAAGACUGGGAUAACUCCGGGAAACCGGAGCUAAUACCGGAUAGUUCCUGAACCGCAUGGUUCAAGGAUGAAAGACGGUUUCGGCUGUCACUUACAGAUGGACCCGCGGCGCAUAGCUAGUUGGUGAGGUAACGGCUCACCAAGGCGACGAUGCGUAGCCGACCUGAGAGGGUGAUCGGCCACACUGGGACUGAGACACGGCCCAGACUCCUACGGGAGGCAGCAGUAGGGAAUCUUCCGCAAUGGACGAAAGUCUGACGGAGCAACGCCGCGUGAGUGAUGAAGGUUUUCGGAUCGUAAAGCUCUGUUGUUAGGGAAGAACAAGUGCAAGAGUAACUGCUUGCACCUUGACGGUACCUAACCAGAAAGCCACGGCUAACUACGUGCCAGCAGCCGCGGUAAUACGUAGGUGGCAAGCGUUGUCCGGAAUUAUUGGGCGUAAAGGGCUCGCAGGCGGUUUCUUAAGUCUGAUGUGAAAGCCCCCGGCUCAACCGGGGAGGGUCAUUGGAAACUGGGAAACUUGAGUGCAGAAGAGGAGAGUGGAAUUCCACGUGUAGCGGUGAAAUGCGUAGAGAUGUGGAGGAACACCAGUGGCGAAGGCGACUCUCUGGUCUGUAACUGACGCUGAGGAGCGAAAGCGUGGGGAGCGAACAGGAUUAGAUACCCUGGUAGUCCACGCCGUAAACGAUGAGUGCUAAGUGUUAGGGGGUUUCCGCCCCUUAGUGCUGCAGCUAACGCAUUAAGCACUCCGCCUGGGGAGUACGGUCGCAAGACUGAAACUCAAAGGAAUUGACGGGGGCCCGCACAAGCGGUGGAGCAUGUGGUUUAAUUCGAAGCAACGCGAAGAACCUUACCAGGUCUUGACAUCCUCUGACAACCCUAGAGAUAGGGCUUUCCCUUCGGGGACAGAGU